AACUCAAAGGAGACUGCCAGUGAUAAACUGGAGGAAGGUGGGGAUGACGUCAAGUCAUCAUGGCCCUUACGACCAGGGCUACACACGUGCUACAAUGGCGCAUACAAAGAGAAGCGACCUCGCGAGAGCAAGCGGACCUCAUAAAGUGCGUCGUAGUCCGGAUUGGAGUCUGCAACUCGACUCCAUGAAGUCGGAAUCGCUAGUAAUCGUGGAUCAGAAUGCCACGGUGAAUACGUUCCCGGGCCUUGUACACACCGCCCGUCACACCAUGGGAGUGGGUUGCAAAAGAAGUAGGUAGCUUAACCUUCGGGAGGGCGCUUACCACUUUGUGAUUCAUGACUGGGGUGAAGUCGUAACAAGGUAACCGUAGGGGAACCUGCGGUUGGAUCACCUCCUUACCUUAAAGAA
This 408-nucleotide ribosomal RNA is filed under the name Salmonella enterica. RNAcentral describes it as "bacterial SSU rRNA". It matches the Rfam family "Bacterial small subunit ribosomal RNA", at positions 1136 to 1533 of the family's 1533-position model. The record is from RNAcentral. RNAcentral also lists the same sequence under 6 other names. Lineage: Bacteria; Pseudomonadati; Pseudomonadota; Gammaproteobacteria; Enterobacterales; Enterobacteriaceae.